This 221-nucleotide unclassified non-coding RNA is filed under the name soil metagenome. RNAcentral describes it as "partial contains 5.8S ribosomal RNA, internal transcribed spacer 2, and large subunit ribosomal RNA". The record is from RNAcentral.
AACAUCGCGCACCUGCGGGAACCUGCGGAGGGAUCAUUACACAAUACAAUAUGAAGGCUGUCCGCAGCUGGAGUAUUUUAUUACCCUUGUCUUUUGCGCACUUGUUGUUUCCUGGGCGGGUUCGCUCGCCACCAGGACCACCAAAUAAACCUUUUUUAUGCAGUUGCAAUCAGCGUCAGUACAAACAAUGUAAAUCAUUUACAACUUUUAACAAUGGAUCU